This 425-nucleotide ribosomal RNA is filed under the name uncultured bacterium. RNAcentral describes it as "partial 16S ribosomal RNA". It matches the Rfam family "Bacterial small subunit ribosomal RNA", at positions 354 to 796 of the family's 1533-position model. The record is from RNAcentral.
GUGGGGAAUCUUGCGCAAUGGGCGAAAGCCUGACGCAGCCAUGCCGCGUGGAUGAUGAAGGUCUUAGGAUUGUAAAAUCCUUUCACCGGUGAAGAUAAUGACUGUAGCCGGAGAAGAAGCCCCGGCUAACUUCGUGCCAGCAGCCGCGGUAAUACGAAGGGGGCUAGCGUUGCUCGGAUUUACUGGGCGUAAAGGGCGCGUAGGCGGACAUUUAAGUCAGGGGUGAAUUCCCGGGGUUCAACCUCGGAACUGACUUUGAUACUGGGUGUCUUGAGUAUGAGAGAGGUGUGUGGAACUCCGAGUGUAGAGGUGAAAUUCGUAGAUAUUCGGAAGAACACCAGUGGCGAAGGCGACACACUGGCUCAUUACUGACGCUGAGGCGCGAAAGCGUGGGGAGCAAACAGGAUUAGAAACCCGGGUAGUCC